CAAGAUACCUGGAAUGGUUUUUGAUCAAAAUCUAUAUGGCCUUUGGAUUGGACUGCGUCCGAUCAGGCUGUUGGUGAGGUAAUGGCCCACCAAACCUGUAACCGGUACGGGCUCUGAGAGGAGGAGCCCGGAGAUGGGUACUGAGACAAGGGCCCAGGCCCUAUGGGGCGCAGCAGGCGCGAAACCUCUGCAAUAGGCGAAAGCUUGACAGGGUUACUCUGAGUGAUUUCCGUUAAGGAGAUCUUUUGGCACCUCUAAAAAUGGUGCAGAAUAAGGGGUGGGCAAGUCUGGUGUCAGCCGCCGCGGUAAUACCAGCACCCCGAGUGGUCGGGACGUUUAUUGGGCCUAAAGCAUCCGUAGCCGGUUCUACAAGUCUUCCGUUAAAUCCACCUGCUUAACAGAUGGGCUGCGGAAGAUACUAUAGAGCUAGGAGGCGGGAGAGGCAAGCGGUACUCGAUGGGUAGGGGUAAAAUCCGUUGAUCCAUUGAAGACCACCAGUGGCGAAGGCGGCUUGCCAGAACGCGCUCGACGGUGAGGGAUGAAAGCUGGGGGAGCAAACCGGAUUAGAUACCCGGGUAGUCCCAGCUGUAAACGAUGCAGACUCGGUGAUGAGUUGGCUUAUUGCUAACUCAGUGCCGCAGGGAAGCCGUUAAGUUUGCCGCCUGGGGAGUACGGUCGCAAGACUGAAACUUAA
This 694-nucleotide ribosomal RNA is filed under the name uncultured archaeon. Its description in RNAcentral is "bacterial SSU rRNA". It matches the Rfam family "Archaeal small subunit ribosomal RNA", at positions 162 to 859 of the family's 1478-position model. The record is from RNAcentral.